GAUGAACGCUGGCGGCGUGCCUAACACAUGCAAGUCGAGCGAUUCUCUUCGGAGAAGAGCGGCGGACGGGUGAGUAACGCGUGGGUAACCUGCCCUGUACACACGGAUAACAUACCGAAAGGUAUGCUAAUACGGGAUAAUAUAUUUUAGUCGCAUGGCUGAAAUAUCAAAGCUCCGGCGGUACAGGAUGGACCCGCGUCUGAUUAGCUAGUUGGCAAGGUAAUGGCUUACCAAGGCGACGAUCAGUAGCCGACCUGAGAGGGUGAUCGGCCACCAUAGAACUGAGACACGGUCCAAACUCCUACGGGAGGCAGCAGUGGGGAAUAUUGCACAAUGGGCGAAAGCCUGAUGCAGCAACGCCGCGUGAGCGAUGAAGGCCUUCGGGUCGUAAAGCUCUGUCCUCAAGGAAGAUAAUGACGGUACUUGAGGAGGAAGCCCCGGCUAACUACGUGCCAGCAGCCGCGGUAA
Molecule: ribosomal RNA, 468 nt
Filed under: uncultured bacterium
Lineage: Bacteria
Description: partial 16S ribosomal RNA
Rfam family: Bacterial small subunit ribosomal RNA
Source: RNAcentral